ACCUGGGUGGCUCAGUCGGUUGAGCAUCUGACUUCAGCUCAGGUCAUGAUCUCAUGGUGUGUGAGUUCGAGCCCCGCAUCAGGCU
This is a transfer RNA of Felis catus (domestic cat), 85 nucleotides long. It matches the Rfam family "tRNA". Rfam says of the family: Transfer RNA (tRNA) molecules are approximately 80 nucleotides in length. The record is from Rfam. Lineage: Eukaryota; Metazoa; Chordata; Mammalia; Carnivora; Felidae.